CAGGAACUGAAGCAGAAGCUAUGGAG
Molecule: unclassified non-coding RNA, 26 nt
Filed under: Mus musculus (house mouse)
Lineage: Eukaryota; Metazoa; Chordata; Mammalia; Rodentia; Muridae
Description: oocyte_clustered_small_RNA7638
Source: RNAcentral